AGAUAAAACAAGUCUCGUAUGAAUCGAAGUUUCCAACAAAGAGUUACAAUAGAUUUAGUAACCCAAGAUCAAAGAACAAAUCUCAAUUUUAUAGAAUUCACAGGGUCGGUUUCAACAGAAAACUGGGCAAGCAUUUGGACUCUAAAUCUUUCAAUCCAGGUAUCAAAGAAAGAUCAUAAUCUCAGAAGUUGCACAGAUUCGAAUCGUUACGUCUAAACAGGAGAUAUAUCAAAUGCAAGGCUAGAACAAUUCAAAGUUCCUCAUAUUCAAAGCAAAUAUAGAGAUAAAAU
RNAcentral lists this long non-coding RNA (290 nucleotides) under Musa acuminata (dwarf banana). Its description in RNAcentral is "long non-coding RNA (MACU_LNC011622)". Lineage: Eukaryota; Viridiplantae; Streptophyta; Magnoliopsida; Zingiberales; Musaceae. The record is from RNAcentral.